UCCUAUUCUGGUGAUAACUGCUACUGGUAC
This 30-nucleotide non-coding RNA is filed under the name Mus musculus (house mouse). RNAcentral also lists the same sequence under 1 other name. The record is from RNAcentral. Lineage: Eukaryota; Metazoa; Chordata; Mammalia; Rodentia; Muridae.